GCCGAGGUGUUGAAAUUGGUAGACAAGCAGCGUUGAGGGCGCUGUGCUCGUAAGAGCGUGCGGGUUCGAGUCCCGCCCUCGGCACCA
RNAcentral lists this transfer RNA (87 nucleotides) under Chloroflexota bacterium. RNAcentral's name for it is "tRNA-Leu". It matches the Rfam family "tRNA". From Rfam's summary of the family: Transfer RNA (tRNA) molecules are approximately 80 nucleotides in length. Their secondary structure includes four short double-helical elements and three loops (D, anti-codon, and T loops). Further hydrogen bonds mediate the characteristic L-shaped molecular structure. tRNAs have two regions of fundamental functional importance: the anti-codon, which is responsible for specific mRNA codon recognition, and the 3' end, to which the tRNAs corresponding amino acid is attached (by aminoacyl-tRNA synthetases). tRNAs cope with the degeneracy of the genetic code in two manners: having more than one tRNA (with a specific anti-codon) for a particular amino acid; and 'wobble' base-pairing, i.e. permitting non-standard base-pairing at the 3rd anti-codon position. Lineage: Bacteria; Bacillati; Chloroflexota. RNAcentral also lists the same sequence under 1 other name. The record is from RNAcentral.